Molecule: long non-coding RNA, 380 nt
Filed under: Nicotiana benthamiana
Lineage: Eukaryota; Viridiplantae; Streptophyta; Magnoliopsida; Solanales; Solanaceae
Description: long non-coding RNA (NBEN_LNC024212)
Source: RNAcentral
GAAAAUUGUUUAAAAACUUAAAAAAAGCAUAGAUUUGGAAGAGAUCUAAAGAGAUCAGAAAAACCUCAAAAAUAGGGUUUUUAGAGUAACACAAACGAUGAGAAAGGCUUGGAUCUAAGCAAGAGGAGCCGAUACCAGGCUUCGAAAUUGACAUAGCUUACCGGAACAGGCCCAGAGAUGGCCGUGGAACGUGAGUCGACAAAGAUUUGGACCCAACUCUUCAUGGCCGAAUCAUAAAGCUUCAGUUAAUCAAAUGUGGGCAGCCACAGGUGGCUUGGUGGGUGGUGAAACCACGGUGGAUUUAGGUUAGAAAGUGGACGGAGAAGAUGGACAUAAUUUAUCGGAGAGGAGGGGAGGGGAAGGUUCUAGAGAGAACCCGA